AACGAACGCUGGCGGCAGGCCUAACACAUGCCAGUCGAGCGGACCCUUCGGGGUUAGCGGCGGACGGGUGAGUAACGCGUGGGAAUAUGCCCUUCUCUACGGAAUAGUCCUGGGAAACUGGGGGUAAUACCGUAUACGCCCUUUGGGGGAAAGAUUUAUCGGGGAAGGAUUAGCCCGCGUUGGAUUAGGUAGUUGGUGGGGUAAUGGCCUACUAAGCCGACGAUCCAUAGCUGGUUUGAGAGGAUGAUCAGCCACACUGGGACUGAGACACGGCCCAGACUCCUACGGGAGGCAGCAGUGGGGAAUCUUAGACAAUGGGGGCAACCCUGAUCUAGCCAUGCCGCGUGAGUGAUGAAGGCCUUAGGGUUGUAAAGCUCUUUCAGCUGGGAAGAUAAUGACGGUACCAGCAGAAGAAGCCCCGGCUAACUCCGUG
Molecule: ribosomal RNA, 433 nt
Filed under: uncultured bacterium
Lineage: Bacteria
Description: partial 16S ribosomal RNA
Rfam family: Bacterial small subunit ribosomal RNA
Source: RNAcentral